CCUACGGGAGACUGCAGUGGGGAAUAUUGGACAAUGGGGGGAACCCUGAUCCAGCCAUGCCGCGUGUGUGAAGAAGGCCCUCGGGUUGUAAAGCACUUUCAGUGAGGAAGAACGCCUGGUGGUUAAUACCCAUCAGGAAAGACAUCACUCACAGAAGAAGCACCGGCUAACUCCGUGCCAGCAGCCGCGGUAAUACGGAGGGUGCGAGCGUUAAUCGGAAUUACUGGGCGUAAAGCGCGCGUAGGUGGCUUGAUAAGCCGGUUGUGAAAGCCCCGGGCUCAACCUGGGAACGGCAUCCGGAACUGUCAAGCUAGAGUGCAGGAGAGGAAGGUAGAAUUCCCGGUGUAGCGGUGAAAUGCGUAGAGAUCGGGAGGAAUACCAGUGGCGAAGGCGGCCUUCUGGACUGACACUGACACUGAGGUGCGAAAGCGUGGGUAGCAAACAGGAUUAGAUACCCUAGUAGUC
RNAcentral lists this ribosomal RNA (465 nucleotides) under Vreelandella stevensii. RNAcentral's name for it is "partial 16S ribosomal RNA". It matches the Rfam family "Bacterial small subunit ribosomal RNA", at positions 338 to 795 of the family's 1533-position model. The record is from RNAcentral. Lineage: Bacteria; Pseudomonadati; Pseudomonadota; Gammaproteobacteria; Oceanospirillales; Halomonadaceae.